UACAGUGUAGAGUGGCAGUAUCAUAGCCAAUGAAGUUAAUCUGAGGCGUGAUUAUUGCUAGUUAAAAACUUUUCCCAAUGUUCAAGGUGCCCAGAUUAGACCACUUAUCCCUUAUUAUUUAUACUACUAGUUUAGC
Small nuclear RNA from Mauremys mutica (yellowpond turtle), 136 nucleotides. RefSeq annotates it as U4 spliceosomal RNA. The transcript has a single exon. The record is from RefSeq and is a predicted model, not a curated record. NCBI's taxonomy places the organism in Eukaryota, Metazoa, Chordata, Testudines, Geoemydidae.